This 371-nucleotide ribosomal RNA is filed under the name uncultured bacterium. RNAcentral describes it as "bacterial SSU rRNA". It matches the Rfam family "Bacterial small subunit ribosomal RNA", at positions 527 to 896 of the family's 1533-position model. The record is from RNAcentral.
GGAGGGUGCAAACGUUGUUCGGAAUCACUGGGCGUAAAGGGCGCGUAGGCGGACUUGUAAGUCGGGAGUGAAAACUCGGGGCUCAACCCCGAGCCUGCUUCCGAAACUGCGAGUCUUGAGGACCGGAGAGGAAAGUGGAAUUCCUAGUGUAGCGGUGGAAUGCGUAGAUAUUAGGAAGAACACCAGUGGCGAAGGCGACUUUCUGGACGGUUCCUGACGCUGAGGCGCGAAAGCUAGGGGAGCAAACAGGAUUAGAUACCCUGGUAGUCCUAGCCGUAAACGAUGAGUGCUAGGUGGUGGUAGUUUCAACACUUUCACCGCCGCAGCCAACGCAUUAAGCACUCCGCCUGGGGAGUACGGCCGCAAGGNUG